This is a long non-coding RNA of Astatotilapia calliptera (eastern happy), 1183 nucleotides long. Lineage: Eukaryota; Metazoa; Chordata; Actinopteri; Cichliformes; Cichlidae. The record is from Ensembl.
AUUUUUCCCUGUGAUGUACAAAGUUCUUAAACAGGAAGUGGUUUUAAUGCUGGAUUUGCUCUGAGCAGACAGAACCUUCACCUCUGCCUUCAGUGUGAGCUGACGUUCACAAAGGAGUGUGUGCAGUCGUGUGGUGUGGAAGCGUGAAAUCAACACACCUGUCAGACAAAUGAAAAACAUUUUCCUCUUUUUACAGUCUGACAGACGGGAGCUGCUUCCAGCUGAGCGCUGACCUACUGAACUCAUUCCUGACACGUCUCUUCCCUCCAAACUGAAGAAUAAGUGCAGCUUUCCACAGACAAACAUCUGCACACAGAGAGAUGUAGUUAAAGCUACGGUAAUAGUUAUUUAUUGUAAUUAGCCCAGCUGCUGUAGCGGAGCAGCGACAGAGGAAAGGAGCCGGUGGAGACCAAAAACAGAGCUAAAAGAGAGAACACUGGAUUUACAUCCACCGUCGAUCUGAACUCUGCAGCAGGAGACAACUUCAGGUUUGACUCUAAAAACCUGACACAGAGCUACUCACUGCUUUUCAUCUCUCUGAAUCUUUGCAGUCACGCGUCAGUUCACUUCGAGAUCAAUCGGACCACUUUGAAAAAUCUGCAAAUCUGAGUGUUUGCACUGUGCGCCGGUCAUUGAAAGCAGUAAGUAAAAUUUAUUUGUAUGGCACUUUUUAAGAAGGGAAUCUAUUACAAAGUGCUUUACAGGGAAUUUAAAGACAUCAGACAGAACAACACAUUACACAAGAACCCGUCUGAAUAGAGGAGUUUUCAGCUGGUUUUUAAAAGAAGCCACAGAGUCAAUGGUGCGUAGAGGGGGAGGUCAACUGGUCCACAGUUUUGGUGCUACGGUUUGGAAAGCAUGAUUCCUGUUUUGUUUUCAAAUAGGUCCGUGCAAUAGGAUGAAGAAACUCGAUGAUAUAAGCACAUAGUGCACACUGUGGGAAUUUACGACUGUGCGUGAAUCCCCCCCUGAUAUUGGUAUGAUCCGAGCUCAGGCACUAAGCGACUGAGCGAGAGGGCGGGGCAGCUGCUGCCCGUGAGUGCGCUGUUGGAGAAACAGAGCCAGCCAUACUAAGGAGAGCUUAAGUUUGACCAGUUCUUACCCUCCCCGACUAAAUCGGUUUCAGUUAUGCACUGAAAUAUAAGAAUGGACAUUCGAGGCUUCUUUCAAAGAAAAAACUCAG